RNAcentral lists this unclassified non-coding RNA (310 nucleotides) under air metagenome. RNAcentral's name for it is "partial contains small subunit ribosomal RNA, internal transcribed spacer 1, and 5.8S ribosomal RNA". The stretch from base 1 to 46 matches the Rfam family "Eukaryotic small subunit ribosomal RNA", at positions 1786 to 1831 of the family's 1831-position model. The record is from RNAcentral.
AAGUCGUAACAAGGUUUCCGUAGGUGAACCUGCGGAAGGAUCAUUAUUGAAUGAACUUGGUGUGAUUGUUGCUGAUCCUUCUGGGAUAUGUGCACAUCUGCCAUCUUUAUCUCUCCACCUGUGCACACUUUGUAGGUCUAGAAUAACUCUCUGAGGCAACUCAGAUGUGAGAACUGCUACUGCGAGGUAGCUUUUCUUGUGUUUCUAGAUCUAUGUUUUCAUAUACACCAUAAGAAUGUAACAGAAUGUAUUAAUAGGUCUUGUACCUAUAAACUAUAUACAACUUUCAGCAACGGAUCUCUUGGCUCUU